UGGCGCAACGGUAGCGCGUCUGAUUCCAGUCCAGAAGGUUGAGUGUUCAAGUCACUC
Molecule: transfer RNA, 57 nt
Filed under: Phlebiopsis gigantea 11061_1 CR5-6
Lineage: Eukaryota; Fungi; Basidiomycota; Agaricomycetes; Polyporales; Phanerochaetaceae
Rfam family: tRNA
About the family: Transfer RNA (tRNA) molecules are approximately 80 nucleotides in length.
Source: Rfam by way of RNAcentral